ACAGGGGAAGUUUUUUUAAAUUUAAUAAUUGAAGUUAUUUUAAUUUGUGAAGAAACAAUUAUAUAAAUUAAAGACAAGAAGACCCUAAGAAUUUAAGAAUUUUUAUUAAUAUAUUAUAUGUAUAUAUAUAUAAAUAAAAUUCUUAGUUG
RNAcentral lists this ribosomal RNA (149 nucleotides) under Dermacentor silvarum. Its description in RNAcentral is "partial large subunit ribosomal RNA". The record is from RNAcentral. Lineage: Eukaryota; Metazoa; Arthropoda; Arachnida; Ixodida; Ixodidae.